UUUUUUUUUUUUGAAUUUGAUGUUAAAUUAAACUCAAAAAAGAAAAUAACGUUUUUACAUCAAGUGCGACUUUUUGUUGAAAAAUUAAUAGUGAAAGUGUUUUAGCUUGUGGAUUCUGGUUAAGAGGAUUUGAAAUCGGUACUUCAAUGGCUUGUGGAUUUAUUAUAGAGUCUGAUGCUAAUGGCGUUGGUGAUUAUGAGCUGCAAAACUACAACAUUUUGAGUGUACAGUCUUGAUUCAAGUCUUGUCUUGUAUGGAGAAGCAAAUGGCAAGUACUUUGCUUUAAGCACUGCAUAGUAGAAUCUGAGGCAAGCUUGAGUAAUAAGGAUCUGAAGAUGGAGAAGCCCUUUGCGAAUACUUCAGCUGGCAAAAUCUUUCCCUUCUUCUUCUUCAAGAAUUGAUUUCGUUCGGUUUGCGUUGGAAUUAAUUAAGAAAAAAACAAAAAGUCACGCACGCGAGGCUUUUUAAAAAAGGAGCGAGUGUGUUUCAAAACAGGCCAUUUGGUGGGUUAACUCGCGAGUGGUGAGAGUGGGCGUGAAAUCGCGCGAUGGGUGAGAGAGGGGUGUGACAUGGAGCCAUCUGAUUGGCUAAUAUAAUGAAAAUAGUAGAGAUGUAGCUCCUACCUUCCUCCUCUCAUAAUAACUUUUAUUAUUACUUCUUCUCUUUUCGUCUUCUAUCUUUGUGAAUAAACAAGCUAUGAGAUGAUUACAAAAAAAAACUUUUAGACAAAAUUUUGUCUAGUUUAUAUUAUUUAGUCAGCUUGAGAAUGAAAUUCAGAUUUCUUCAAUCUGAAAGUUGGUGUUUUUGGAUACAAUUGAGAGUCUUAUUCCAUCAUUAUAAACGAUUCUGUACAAUUGAGAGGACAACCUAUGGCUGGCAUGAAAACAUUGUUUCCUCUUUAUCUUCCUCUUCCUCUUGCUCUUUGGUCUGUGUAGAGCAUGUUUCUUGGAUUUGAAGACCAAACAGCUUCUGCAGACCAAACAGCUUCUGAGGGAAUCUCAUCUGACAAGCCAUUGUUAUUCUCAAGCUCAAGGGUUUCAAGAUUUGUCAGAUUCUGAAGUUCCACCAGAUAACUUGUUCAGGCUCAAAGACAGAGUUGAUAGAUUGACUAACUUCUCAUCUCAAAAGACAAUGAAUUGUUCUGGAGAUCAAACGUUUCGAGCUUACUCAACUGUGAUACAGACAAUGGUUUAGAACCACUGAACAUGUUCGGCCAUAAUGUCAGCGUCCGCAGUUUGGCAAGACUACCUUGUAACACAAUAAAGUCAGUAUGAUUUACAACCCAUAUCUAUGAUCUUCAUACAUGAAUAAGUUUGAAUUCUGAGAUUGAGUUUAUGAUUUUACCUAUUUCUGGAGGAAUCUCUCCCUCAAUGAAAUUCUCAUACAAGAUCAGUUCCUGCAGAUUCUUGAGCUCUUUGAUGUCACCACUCAACGUACCACCAAUAACAUUCAUGCUUAAGUCCAAGCGCCGAAGAGUCUUCAAGGAGAACAAUUCAGGAGGGAUAGAGCCGUUAAAGCUCUUAUCACUCAUGUCAAGAGAGAUAAAACUGGUCAAGCUCACAAACCCAUCUCCAGGAAUCUCUCCUUAUAUGAAAUUAGACGAGAUAUCGAGCGUCACAAGUGAGCUUAUCCUCAGAACCGGUCUCAGAAUGCUUGAACUCACACUGAGCCAGAGAAGACAAGAGAGUGCAGAUUCAGGUCUAUCACUACUCUGGUAGGGGAACGAGUGUUGCAUCUGACGAGUUGCAGUUGCAGCUAUCUGAGUUUGGCCUCCACGUCUCUAAACCUUCCAAGGUGAUUAUUGCUGUGGUGUGGUUAUUGGUGUUCUGAGUCAGCAAGAUCUUGAACUCAAGAAGGGAUUGUAUUUGGUCUUGUGGGCAAGAGAAAGAUAUUUGUGGAAUGAAGAAGACGAAGAACACGAGGACACAAGAGAGAAUACAUGGCUUCAGCAUUUUUGUCAGAGCUAUUGUUUUUUGCCAGUCACAGGUUCUUCUGUAUGUCUCCUUUAUAGCUACAACAAGUCCAAGACGAGAUUAUUGCUAAAAGACUGAAAUCCGAACAAUGUUUUUGAUGCUGCAGUUGCAUUCGCUGCACGGUAAAACAGUUGUGAGAAUUUCAGCUGGUAAAUGCUGGGCAUCUGCUGUUACUAGUACAGGUGAAGUUUACAUGUGGGAUGGGAAGAAUGGCAAAGAUAUGCCACCAUCUCUUUCUCGCCUCCAUAACUUGAAAAGGGCAACCACAGUUGCUGUUGGUGAAAAACAUCUGCUGGUUGUGGGUUCUCUGUUUCAUCCUGCCUAUGCUCUUACUGUGCUUAAGAAGUCUCAGACUGUGCAAGCGGAUGAAAUUAGGGAAGAAGAAAAUGAAGAACUGGAUGAGGGUUUUAUGUUUGAUGAUGUCGAAUCUGUGAACCUGUUAGUCUGUUACAAUCCGUGCAACACGAUAAUCCAAAGGAGAGGACAGUACCUAGCUUGAAAAGUUUAUGCGAGAAGGUAGUAGCGGAGUAUAUUGUAGAGCCACAAAAAUGCUAUUCAACUGCUUGAAAUUGCGGAUUCUCUUGCUGACGGUCACUACUACAAUUGGUUAUGGUUCUCCCAUCAAGGAAAACUCAUACAGUGUCCAUGUAGCUACGCUUGGGGAGAAGGAAGUUGAGGCUACCAGAAACCUGAGGAUGUCAAUAGCCAUUGGCGCCGUCACACGCCCGAAGGCGCUGCUCUUGAAGCUGAUUGGAAUGCCAAAUUUGCAGCUUAUGAGAAGAAAUAUCCAGAGGAAGCUGCAGAGUUGAAGUCUAUUAUCUCAGGUGAAUUGCCCACCGGUUGGAAGAAGGCACUUCCUACAUAUACACCAGAAUCUCCGGGUGAUGCCACCAGAAACCUGUCUAAGCAAUGUCUUAACACACUUGCGAAAGUUGAGCCUGGCUUUCUUGGCGGGAGUGCUGACCUUGCAUCUUCCAACAUGACAUUGCUUAAAGCAUUCAUGUUGCCAUUUUUGUAGGGCCUUUUAAAAAUAUUGUUGGCUUGCAGACCAGUUGCAAGGCAGAGUGAUCCAGUCACUCGAGUUGCCAUUUUCUCAAGUGGUAAUGUUAUCAUCGGUACACCAGCCCAUUUUCUGUUUUUGAUUAAAAUCCGGUUAAAUUCGGAUAAAUUCGGUUAGAUUGGAUAUAAUAACUAAAAGAAAAGAAAACAAAAUGUGGGCCAUUUGUUAACUUAGCCCAAACGAAAAUUGGGCAUUUUUUAAUACAGCCCAAACGAAAUUGGGCCUUUUUUUGCUUAGAGAAACAAAAUUAAGGCCUCUUUAUCCUAUUUUAUUUUUGUUCAGAUCUAUACAUACAUUUUGUGUG
Long non-coding RNA from Arabidopsis lyrata subsp. lyrata, 3337 nucleotides. RefSeq lists it as uncharacterized. Lineage: Eukaryota; Viridiplantae; Streptophyta; Magnoliopsida; Brassicales; Brassicaceae. The record is from RefSeq and is a predicted model, not a curated record. The transcript is spliced from 5 exons.